AAGUCGUAACAAGGUUUCCGUAGGUGAACCUGCGGAAGGAUCAUUAACACGUAUCCAAACGUUAAAACAACCCUGUGAAUAUUGAAUCUCAGUUCCCCCAGGGCAGAAAAAUGGGCUUCCUCUAGUAAAUCAUUGUCUUAACAAGGUUUUGAGUUAGCAACCAUCAAUCUGAAAGUGUUUGGUGAAUUGUGCAAGGGCAGCGCAGUCAACGAUCGGUGGUCCACACGGCCAUCGACCGGGGGUCGUUACCUCCCUGUGGGGCCAAGUUCAUUCAGGUUGAACAUGAUGCAUGUCUACCGCGCCCGACGAAAGUCCGACGCACCCCUAACCGAACAACUGUUAACAAUGGAUAUCUUGGUUCUC
This 363-nucleotide unclassified non-coding RNA is filed under the name fungal sp. RNAcentral describes it as "partial internal transcribed spacer region". The stretch from base 1 to 46 matches the Rfam family "Eukaryotic small subunit ribosomal RNA", at positions 1786 to 1831 of the family's 1831-position model. The record is from RNAcentral. Lineage: Eukaryota; Fungi.